ACGGCAGCACGGGACUCAGGCAACUGAGCCCUGGUGGCGAGUGGCGAACGGGUGAGUAACAUAUCGGAACGUACCCAGUCGUGGGGGAUAACUCUCCGAAAGGAGAGCUAAUACCGCAUACGUCCUGAGGGAGAAAGCGGGGGACCUGCAAGGGCCUCGCGCGAUUGGAGCGGCCGAUAUCGGAUUAGCUAGUUGGUGGGGUAAAGGCUCACCAAGGCGACGAUCCGUAGCGGGUCUGAGAGGACGACCCGCCACACUGGAACUGAGACACGGUCCAGACUCCUACGGGAGGCAGCAGUGGGGAAUUUUGGACAAUGGGGGCAACCCUGAUCCAGCCAUUCCGCGUGAGUGAAGAAGGCCUUCGGGUUGUAAAGCUCUUUCAGCAGGAACGAAACGGUCGGCUUUAAUAAAGUCGGCUAAUGACGGUACCUGCAGAAGAAGCACCGGCUAACUACGUGCCAGCAGCCGCGGUAAUACGUAGGGUGCGAGCGUUAAUCGGAAUUACUGGGCGUAAAGCGUGCGCAGGCGGCGACAUAAGACAGAUGUGAAAUCCCCGGGCUCAACCUGGGAACUGCGUUUGUGACUGUGUUGCUAGAGUGUAGCAGAGGGGGGUGGAAUUCCACGUGUAGCAGUGAAAUGCGUAGAGAUGUGGAGGAACACCGAUGGCGAAGGCAGCCCCCCUGGGUUAACACUGACGCUCAUGCACGAAAGCGUGGGGAGCAAACAGGAUUAGAUACCCUGGUAGAAUCACUAGUGAAUUC
Molecule: ribosomal RNA, 761 nt
Filed under: uncultured bacterium
Lineage: Bacteria
Description: bacterial SSU rRNA
Rfam family: Bacterial small subunit ribosomal RNA
Source: RNAcentral